ACAGAAACCAUCUUCAGUAAUCUUCGACGACCUCUUCUCUUCUCUCUUUCUUCUUCCCUGAAGAUUCACAUCUGUUAAUCCAGAUUAGGAUUUCCAUUUCAUCAUCUAUGUUGUUUAUGAGAGUUCAGAGUUAGAACUCUUUCAUCAUCUGAUUUUAGGGUUUCAUCGUCACCUGCGUAAGCCUCUCUCCACCCUAAGCUAAGCUUACAUUAAUCGAAUUGAUCCAGUGAAGCGCUUCAGAUCUGAGUCUGUAAUCCUAAAUUAGGGUUCAAGUGUUGAAGUUGCAGCUGCUCUAAAAGCUACAAAAAGUGGAGAUAGAAUUGAUGUGUGCUGUAUUGAUGAGUCUGAGAAGAUGAGAAGUAGGGAUCUGGUAGGUUAUUGUAUGAUACUGCAACUGUAGAAGAUGAAUUCUGGUGGUGGAUAAGAAUCUGGUUUGAAUUGAGAAAAUGGGUUGCAUCUGCAACUCAGUUUUGGAGAAACCAGUGAUGGAUAAUGGGUAUUGUGGUCUGCUGGUUGAGAAUUGGAGCGAUGGAUUAUGGAGCUUCUGAAGUGCAGUUGCUGGGGUUGCAGUUGAGAAUUGAGAUUGUACUGUGUGAAGUGUGGAAAGAAGCAAUUGCAGGUGAUAAUAAAGAAUGGGAAAUUGAGUUAUGGAAGAGUGAACGGAACUGAAUUACUGUGUGGGCUGAGCUGAACUGAAGUUGAUGGUUGAACCGAGUGAAGUCAAGCCAUGGCAUUGCAGGUGGUAUGAACUGAUCUUGGUGAUGUGGAACAUACACAUUUGGUGAAGAGAUUGGAUUUGUGAUAUUUAACAAGGUGCGUAGUGAUAUUAAGAAACCAGAAGCAGGUAGAUUUGUUUUAGUUACAGUUCUUCUAUACUAUCAUUUAGGUAGUUGAUAAAUUUCAUAUGUUUCUCCUUGGAUUUCUCCUUUUCUUUUGCACUAAUGGAUCUCGAUUUUAAUGUUCCCGGAAUAAAUCCUGUCACGAGACUUGUGCCUGAAAAAUCGAUAUUGCUGCAUGGUAAGGGACACUAAUACACUUGGGUUGACAAAAGUUGUCAUUGGAGAGAUCAGUUCAGGGGUCUUGGCAAAGAUAGAUCUCAUGGAUAAGGGUACCGACGCUGUUGAUGGAGUGGGAGUAUUCUGCAAGUACCCUUGAUAGAUGGUGCUCUCCAUGUUCGUGCAUUAUUCCAAGAUGCUAAGAAAAAGGUUCCCGAUAGUGGGUCAUGGAAUUACAAAAUCAAUGGAGUGAAGCAUAACACUGAUCUGACGUGUGGGAUAAAGCUGGGAUCGAUGGUGACACUGAGAACAUCAUCUCAUAAGUCCUUUAUGAUUACAUCAUACUUUACUAUAUCCUCUUGUGGGCGUGGAUUGACACUACUGACAUGUUUACUUUUCAUUGAGGUUAUGUGGUUCUUGGUAAGUACUGGUAGCCUUUGCUUUGACUCAUCUAAUUCACAUAUCUUGAUUGCAGGUUUGGUGGGAUAGCCUUGGCUUAUGAACUAUCUAUGAACCAAUUGGCAUCUGAUUGUUUCUUUUCAAUAUUGUAAG
Molecule: long non-coding RNA, 1547 nt
Organism: Papaver somniferum (opium poppy)
Lineage: Eukaryota; Viridiplantae; Streptophyta; Magnoliopsida; Ranunculales; Papaveraceae
Exons: 7
Source: RefSeq, a predicted model, not a curated record